Ziziphus jujuba (common jujube) is the source of this 555-nucleotide long non-coding RNA. RefSeq lists it as uncharacterized. The transcript is spliced from 3 exons. The record is from RefSeq and is a predicted model, not a curated record. NCBI's taxonomy places the organism in Eukaryota, Viridiplantae, Streptophyta, Magnoliopsida, Rosales, Rhamnaceae.
ACAAAACGAGUUUUGCUUGACUGGAAAAAAUGAAUGCACAUCAUAGAAGGGAUUGCUCAAGGGCUUCUAUACCUCCACAAAUACUCUAGACUAAGAAUUAUCCAUAGAGAUUUGAAAACCAGCAACAUCUUAUUAGACAGCAACAUGAAUCCAAAAAUCUCUGAUUUUGGGACAGCAAAAAUCUUUGGGGAGAAUGAAUCGGGAGCCAACACUAAUCGCAUUGUUGGGACCUACUAAUGGCUAUAUGUCUCCUGAGUAUGCCUUGAAGGGUCUCUUCUCUGAAAAAUCAGACGUCUUCAGUUUUGGAGUCAUCAUGCUAAAAAUCCUAAGCGGCAAGAACACUGGUUUUUAUCAGCCAAAUGAAUUUUCAAACCUACUAGAAUAUGCAUGGUAUCUGUGGAAAGAAGGAAGAUACUUGGAAUUACUGGAUUAAGUAGUGGCAGAACCAUGUACAGCAACAAGCGAAUUUAGACGGUGUGUGGAAGUUGUUUUGUUUUGUGUGCAAGAAAGUGCAGAAGAUAGACCAACCAUGUCAGAUGUUGUGUCGAUGCUUGG